Molecule: ribosomal RNA, 692 nt
Filed under: uncultured Lachnospiraceae bacterium
Lineage: Bacteria; Bacillati; Bacillota; Clostridia; Lachnospirales; Lachnospiraceae
Description: bacterial SSU rRNA
Rfam family: Bacterial small subunit ribosomal RNA
Source: RNAcentral
AAGCAUUUUAAAGGAAGUUUUCGGAUGGAAUUUGGAAUGACUGAGCGGCGGACGGGUGAGUAACGCGUGGGUAACCUGCCUCAUACAGGGGGAUAACAGUUAGAAAUGACUGCUAAUACCGCAUAAGCACACAGUACCGCAUGGUACAGUGUGAAAAACUCCGGUGGUAUGAGAUGGACCCGCGUCUGAUUAGUUUGUUGGCGGGGUAACGGCCCACCAAGGCGACGAUCAGUAGCCGACCUGAGAGGGUGACCGGCCACAUUGGGACUGAGACACGGCCCAAACUCCUACGGGAGGCAGCAGUGGGGAAUAUUGCACAAUGGGGGAAACCCUGAUGCAGCAACGCCGCGUGAGUGAAGAAGUAUUUCGGUAUGUAAAGCUCUAUCAGCAGGGAAGAAAGUGACGGUACCUGACUAAGAAGCCCCGGCUAACUACGUGCCAGCAGCCGCGGUAAUACGUAGGGGGCAAGCGUUAUCCGGAUUUACUGGGUGUAAAGGGAGCGUAGACGGCACAGCAAGUCUGAAGUGAAAUCCCCGGGCUCAACCCGGGAACUGCUUUGGAAACUGUUGGGCUGGAGUGCUGGAGAGGCAAGCGGAAUUCCUAGUGUAGCGGUGAAAUGCGUAGAUAUUAGGAGGAACACCAGUGGCGAAGGCGGCUUGCUGGACAGUAACUGACGUUGAGGCUCGAAAGCG